AUUGAACGCUGGCGGCAUGCCUUACACAUGCAAGUCGAACGGUAACGGGUCCUUCGGGAUGCCGACGAGUGGCGAACGGGUGAGUAAUAUAUCGGAACGUGCCCAGUAGUGGGGGAUAACUGCUCGAAAGAGCAGCUAAUACCGCAUACGACCUGAGGGUGAAAGGGGGGGAUCGCAAGACCUCUCGCUAUUGGAGCGGCCGAUAGAAGAUUAGAUAGUGGGUGGGGUAAAGGCCUACCAAGGCAACGAUCUGUAGUUGGUCUGAGAGGACGACCAGACACACUGGGACUGAGACACGGCCCAGACUCCUACGGGAGGCAGCAGUGGGGAAUUUUGGACAAUGGGCGCAAGCCUGAUCCAGCAAUGCCGCGUGCAGGAAGAAGGCCUUCGGGUUGUAAACUGCUUUUGUCAGGGAAGAAAUCUUCUGGGCUAAUACCCCGGGAGGAUGACGGUACCUGAAGAAUAAGCACCGGCUAACUACGUGCCAGCAGCCGCCGCCG
This 500-nucleotide ribosomal RNA is filed under the name uncultured bacterium. Its description in RNAcentral is "partial 16S ribosomal RNA". It matches the Rfam family "Bacterial small subunit ribosomal RNA", at positions 29 to 523 of the family's 1533-position model. The record is from RNAcentral.